UGGGGAAUAUUGCACAAUGGGCGAAAGCCUGAUGCAGCCAUGCCGCGUGUGUGAAGAAGGCCUUCGGGUUGUAAAGCACUUUCAGUAGGGAGGAAAGGGUGUUACUUAAUACGUAAUAUCUGUGACGUUACCUACAGAAGAAGGACCGGCUAACUCCGUGCCAGCAGCCGCGGUAAUACGGAGGGUCCGAGCGUUAAUCGGAAUUACUGGGCGUAAAGCGUGCGCAGGCGGUUUGUUAAGCCAGAUGUGAAAUCCCCGGGCUCAACCUGGGAAUUGCAUUUGGAACUGGCGAACUAGAGUCUUGUAGAGGGGGGUAGAAUUCCAGGUGUAGCGGUGAAAUGCGUAGAGAUCUGGAGGAAUACCGGUGGCGAAGGCGGCCCCCUGGACAAAGACUGACGCUCAUGCACGAAAGCGUGGGGAGCAAACA
RNAcentral lists this ribosomal RNA (427 nucleotides) under Shewanella sp. Its description in RNAcentral is "bacterial SSU rRNA". It matches the Rfam family "Bacterial small subunit ribosomal RNA", at positions 355 to 774 of the family's 1533-position model. Lineage: Bacteria; Pseudomonadati; Pseudomonadota; Gammaproteobacteria; Alteromonadales; Shewanellaceae. The record is from RNAcentral.